RNAcentral lists this ribosomal RNA (517 nucleotides) under uncultured bacterium. RNAcentral describes it as "bacterial SSU rRNA". It matches the Rfam family "Bacterial small subunit ribosomal RNA", at positions 27 to 518 of the family's 1533-position model. The record is from RNAcentral.
GGACGAACGCUGGCGGCGUGCCUAAUACAUGCAAGUGGAACGCAUGAUUGAUACCGUAGCUUGCUACACCAUUAAUCGUGAGUCGCGAACGGGUGAGUAACGCGUAGGUAACCUGCCUACUAGCGGGGGAUAACUAUUGGAAACGAUAGCUAAUACCGCAUAAGAGUUUUUAACACAUGUUAGAAAUUUAAAAGGAGCAAAUGCUUCACUAGUAGAUGGACCUGCGUUGUAUUAGCUAGUUGGUAAGGUAACGGCUUACCAAGGCGACGAUACAUAGCCGACCUGAGAGGGUGAUCGGCCACACUGGGACUGAGACACGGCCCAGACUCCUACGGGAGGCAGCAGUAGGGAAUCUUCGGCAAUGGGGGGAACCCUGACCGAGCAACGCCGCGUGAGUGAAGAAGGUUUUUGGAUCGUAAAGCUCUGUUGUAAGAGAAGAACGUUGAGUAGAGUGGAAAGUUACUCAAGUGACGGUAUCUUACCAUAAAGGGACGGCUAACUACGUGCCAGCAGCGGC